This is a long non-coding RNA of Grus americana (Whooping crane), 1290 nucleotides long. RefSeq lists it as uncharacterized. NCBI's taxonomy places the organism in Eukaryota, Metazoa, Chordata, Aves, Gruiformes, Gruidae. The record is from RefSeq and is a predicted model, not a curated record. The transcript is spliced from 3 exons.
ACCAAAGCUGUCGGAGAAAAUGUUGGAUCUAUGAUAUGACUUUGAACCCAGGUCACUAAAAUCUUUCCCGACGCAGCAUCUUCUUUGGGAUUCUUAAGAAAGCUAAACCUGCAAAGACAAAUAUUAUGGCAACAAAAAUAAAUGCGUCAGGGGACACUGGAGCGCUGUUGUUUUCUCCUCUCUGCUUCUUCGUGUGAAGUACGCAAGCCUGGGGAAAAAGUGAAGUCUUGCCUUUAUCCUCUCUGAUUUAUAGCUGGCCUAGCUGAGAAAAAACAUGUGAAAGAGGAGGGAUAACAAAGAGAGCAAAAGAAGCAAGAGGGCCCAAUUUUGAUCCCUCCUUCCUGAGUUUUAAAACUGCAUGAUUUGAUUAGUUUAACAUCUGGCCAGCGCUCAUUGGUGCAACCCAUUGGUACAACGAGGGCAUCCCCUCCCCGGGAGCUGCCAGCGGGGGCCAGCUCUACUGUGCUCGUACGGGAGAUGGAUUCGGUGUAAGAGCUCAACCCAACCACGCUUUCCCUGAACUGUGGAAACAUGUAAACACAUCAGUAAGUCAUUUUUUUUGCUUAUAAAGGGCACAAAACAGUUCUCCGUCAUGUCCGAAGAAGGAACAUUUUUUAGGGAUUUGGUUUUUUGGUGCAUUGGUUGGCAGCUGACUUACUCCGUGCACUAACACAACACCAUAGGACACCUGCAGAAAGACCAAGUGGUACCCUCCGUUGUACCAUUCUAAACGUAUUGCUUCAAACCAGGACAAGCCAGGGAGCCACGUUCGCCGGCUGUGGGGUGGCUGCCCAGUGAAUCGAGGAGGGAAGAAGCCUUCUUGGGAAGAGACUUGCUCCUCGAUCAUGGACCACCCCGGCCACUUGCUCUGCCUCCCAUGGCUGGUGAGGCUGCAGCUGGUAGGCUCUUCAGAAGGCUUCUGGUGGCCAGAAGAUUUCUCUUUAAAGACUGAAACUAAAACUAAGCCCAUGUAUUUAUCUCCUUAAAUGCAUUUCCAGGCCUAUGAACUCUGGCAUGUCUUAAUCCCAUGUUUAAAGCCACAGUGUUUGGCACAAAUGCAUUUUUAAGGGGUCACAACAAUAACAGUAUCCCUUCUGAGAUGCUGCCCAACUAUCAAAUUAAGGCUGUUUAAUAAUACAGAGCAUGAAAACCAGCACCAUCAGCAGCCCUGGAAGGGAUAUGGAAAACCAAAAGCCCAAUGCCAAGGAGUACCUACAGAGACGUUUUCAUGGACACAUUACUGCAAACUAUUAAAAUUGUAGUGGAUACAAAACAAAUGAUCGUGUUUCC